RNAcentral lists this ribosomal RNA (484 nucleotides) under uncultured bacterium. Its description in RNAcentral is "partial 16S ribosomal RNA". It matches the Rfam family "Bacterial small subunit ribosomal RNA", at positions 30 to 507 of the family's 1533-position model. The record is from RNAcentral.
AUUGAACGCUGGCGGCAGGCCUAACACAUGCAAGUCGAGCGGAUGAAGGGAGCUUGCUCCUGGAUUCAGCGGCGGACGGGUGAGUAAUGCCUAGGAAUCUGCCUGGUAGUGGGGGAUAACGUCCGGAAACGGGCGCUAAUACCGCAUACGUCCUGAGGGAGAAAGUGGGGGAUCUUCGGACCUCACGCUAUCAGAUGAGCCUAGGUCGGAUUAGCUAGUUGGUGGGGUAAAGGCCUACCAAGGCGACGAUCCGUAACUGGUCUGAGAGGGUGAUCAGUCACACUGGAACUGAGACACGGUCCAGACUCCUACGGGAGGCAGCAGUGGGGAAUAUUGGACAAUGGGCGAAAGCCUGAUCCAGCCAUGCCGCGUGUGUGAAGAAGGUCUUCGGAUUGUAAAGCACUUUAAGUCGGGAGGAAGGGCUGUAAGUUAAUACCUUGCUGUUUUGACGUUACCAACAGAAUAAGCACCGGCUAACUUCGUG